RNAcentral lists this ribosomal RNA (109 nucleotides) under uncultured bacterium. Its description in RNAcentral is "partial 16S ribosomal RNA". It matches the Rfam family "Bacterial small subunit ribosomal RNA", at positions 1379 to 1482 of the family's 1533-position model. The record is from RNAcentral.
CCUUGUACACACCGCCCGUCACACCAUGGGAGUGGGGUUCCACCAAGGAAGUAGGUAGGCUAACCGCAAGGGGGCCGCCUACCACGGUCGAGCGUUCAUGACUGGGGUG